CACCGCGGUUAUACGAGAGGCCCGAACUAACAGACCUGCGGCGUAAAGGGUGGUUAAUACUUGUACAAAAACUAAAGCCGAACACCUUCAGGACUGUUAUACGUGCUUGAAGGCAAGAAGCCCUUAAACGAAAGUAGCUUUAAUACUUUUGACCCCACGAAAGCUGUGAAA
Molecule: ribosomal RNA, 171 nt
Filed under: Springerichthys bapturus
Lineage: Eukaryota; Metazoa; Chordata; Actinopteri; Blenniiformes; Tripterygiidae
Description: partial 12S rRNA
Source: RNAcentral